CUCGGUGAAUUGACUCGGAUCUAAUGGCGGGCAACUGACUCGGAUCUAAAGACUUGCAGAAACUACUAGGGGCACUCUGUAUCUCUUUUUUUCAUCGACUGUAAAAGACGGACAUAUUACAAAAUGGCCACUGAACAGAAAAGGGAAGAAGAAGAGCGGCAAACGACGAAGCUACCAUUACCAGCCGAAUGGAAGGGGAAGGUAGAAGAACAGUAUCGGAAGAUCAGAGAACACGCAGAGACUUACCCUUACGUUUGGGCUUCUUACAUCUUCGUCUAUGGUGGACUCGCCUUAUGGACCACUUAUCGAUGGAGAAAGCUUCGGAAGACUGAGGAUAGGGUUCGAGCACUGCAAGUGAGACUUCGUAAGCUAAUUGAAGCCCAAGAAUCUGCAAACUCAGCGGCUCCAUCGGUUGAUAGAGCAACUCCUGAUAAACCCUCAAAACAAUGACCAAUUCGGAUUUUCUGAGGAUGAAGUUGUUGAAGGUAUUCAAAAUGCGAGAAGAGUUUGUGAAAUGGGUAGGACCUAAUUAACGGUUCACAACCCCCCCCCCUUUCUUUUUUGUUCUUUUUACAAUUUUGUUUUUUUUUCUCCAUCUUCAUUGAGUUGAGGAGGUCAAAAAGUUGUAGAAGUUUGAAUGUUUGUAAUUCUGUGAUCAUUUUCUUCGCAUAGUACAGUGGAAAUUUAAUAAACAGCAUAAAUUCAAAUUAAA
Long non-coding RNA from Macadamia integrifolia, 712 nucleotides. RefSeq lists it as uncharacterized. The transcript is spliced from 2 exons. NCBI's taxonomy places the organism in Eukaryota, Viridiplantae, Streptophyta, Magnoliopsida, Proteales, Proteaceae. The record is from RefSeq and is a predicted model, not a curated record.